Regulatory RNA element from Leifsonia sp. Root227, 67 nucleotides. It matches the Rfam family "Actino-pnp RNA". NCBI's taxonomy places the organism in Bacteria, Bacillati, Actinomycetota, Actinomycetes, Micrococcales, Microbacteriaceae. The record is from Rfam.
GCUGGUCCUCGGUGGUGGUAUCCGGAUGCGCGCAUCGCGCAACCGUGUAUUUCUACUGAUGGCCAGA